GAUGAACGCUGGCGGCGUGCCUCAAACAUGCAAGUCGAGCGGGGCUAUGUAAUACCGCAAGGUAGAACAUAGCCUAGCGGCGAACGGGUGAGUAACACGUGGGUAACCUGCCUGGAAGACAGGGAUAACGAUUCGAAAGGGUCGCUAAUACCUGAUAAUAUCCUUUCAUCGCAUGGUGAUAGGAAGAAAGGGGAAACCCGCUUUCAGAUGGGCCCGCGUCCCAUCAGCUAGUUGGUAAGGUAAAGGCUUACCAAGGCGACGACGGGUAGCCGGUCUGAGAGGGUGUACGGCCACACUGGGACUGAGACACGGCCCAGACUCCUACGGGAGGCAGCAGUGGGGAAUAUUGCGCAAUGGGGGAAACCCUGACGCAGCGACGCCGCGUGAGCGAAGAAGGCCUUCGGGUUGUAAAGCUCUGUUGUAAGGGACGAAGGAUUGGGGUAGUAACUGACCCCAAGGUGACGGUACCUUACGAGGAAGCCCCGGCUAACUACGUG
Molecule: ribosomal RNA, 497 nt
Filed under: uncultured bacterium
Lineage: Bacteria
Description: bacterial SSU rRNA
Rfam family: Bacterial small subunit ribosomal RNA
Source: RNAcentral